RNAcentral lists this transfer RNA (87 nucleotides) under Clavispora lusitaniae. RNAcentral's name for it is "tRNA-Met". It matches the Rfam family "tRNA". Rfam says of the family: Transfer RNA (tRNA) molecules are approximately 80 nucleotides in length. The record is from RNAcentral. RNAcentral also lists the same sequence under 1 other name. Lineage: Eukaryota; Fungi; Ascomycota; Pichiomycetes; Serinales; Metschnikowiaceae.
GCUUCGCUAGCUCAGUUGGCAGAGCGUCAGUCUCAUAACAACAGUUGUGAAAUCUGAAGGUCGACAGUUCGAACCUGCCGCGGAGCA